Molecule: ribosomal RNA, 400 nt
Filed under: phytoplankton environmental sample
Lineage: Eukaryota
Description: partial small subunit ribosomal RNA
Rfam family: Eukaryotic small subunit ribosomal RNA
Source: RNAcentral
AGCUCCAAUAGCGUAUAUUAAAGUUGUUGCAGUUAAAAAGCUCGUAGUUGGAUUUGUGGUUUUUGUGUUUGCCUCGGCACUUGAUUGUGUUGUGGGUGAUUUGCAUGGACCAUCCUUGAGCGGAAUCCAUGUGGCAUUUGGUUGUCGUGUGGGGGAUGCUUAUCGUUUACUGUGAAAAAAUUAGAGUGUUCAAAGCAGGCUUAUGCCGUUGAAUAUAUUAGCAUGGAAUAAUGAGAUAGGACCUUGGUACUAUUUUGUUGGUUUGCGCACCUUGGUAAUGAUUAAUAGGGGUAGUUGGGGGUAUUGGUAUUCCAUUGUCAGAGGUGAAAUUCUUGGAUUUUUGGAAGACGAACUAUUGCGAAAGCAUUUACCAAGGAUGUUUUCAUUAAUCAAGAACGAA